UUUCUCUUAUGCUUUAUCAUCGUUAUCGACGUCUAUCCACUUUGUACUAGGUGGAAAUCAACGAAACUCCACAAACGCUUCUCCAUCCCUGGUUACAUGGUCUGUCACUUCUGAGUCUACAAUUCACAUAGGAUAUGAUUCAAUUAGCCUAACAGUUCUUGAAAUAUAAAUGACACUAAAAGAAGUAUUUAUAAGAGUUACCUUCUUUGGCUCAGAACAUUCCCAAGCAAAGUGACUCAGCACUUAACAAUUGAAGCAUUCCAGCUUGCUCUUAUCUUUCUUGUUUCCA
Molecule: long non-coding RNA, 289 nt
Filed under: Olea europaea (common olive)
Lineage: Eukaryota; Viridiplantae; Streptophyta; Magnoliopsida; Lamiales; Oleaceae
Description: long non-coding RNA (OEUR_LNC007855)
Source: RNAcentral